This 422-nucleotide ribosomal RNA is filed under the name uncultured prokaryote. RNAcentral's name for it is "bacterial SSU rRNA". It matches the Rfam family "Bacterial small subunit ribosomal RNA", at positions 355 to 774 of the family's 1533-position model. The record is from RNAcentral.
UGAGGAAUAUUGGUCAAUGGACGAGAGUCUGAACCAGCCAAGUAGCGUGCAGGAAGACGGCCCUAUGGGUUGUAAACUGCUUUUAUAAGGGAAUAAAGUGAGAGUCGUGACUCUUUUUGCAUGUACCUUAUGAAUAAGGACCGGCUAAUUCCGUGCCAGCAGCCGCGGUAAUACGGAAGGUCCGGGCGUUAUCCGGAUUUAUUGGGUUUAAAGGGAGCGUAGGCCGGAGAUUAAGCGUGUUGUGAAAUGUAGACGCUCAACGUCUGCACUGCAGCGCGAACUGGUUUCCUUGAGUACGCACAAAGUGGGCGGAAUUCGUGGUGUAGCGGUGAAAUGCUUAGAUAUCACGAAGAACUCCGAUUGCGAAGGCAGCUCACUGGAGCGCAACUGACGCUGAAGCUCGAAAGUGCGGGUAUCGAACA